Molecule: RNA transcript, 1996 nt
Organism: Beta vulgaris subsp. vulgaris (sugar beet)
Lineage: Eukaryota; Viridiplantae; Streptophyta; Magnoliopsida; Caryophyllales; Amaranthaceae
Gene name: DNA polymerase delta small subunit
Exons: 16
Source: RefSeq, a predicted model, not a curated record
AACAAACAAAAAAGAAGCUAUAAAAGUUUCAUUGUGUUGAAGAAGAAGCGCAGCAUCUUUGUUUUCUUCAUCUUCUUUUCCCGCCAAUCCGCCAUGGAAAUCGACGGCGAGAAAAUUCUCCAACGCAAGACUUCUCAAUACACUAACUUGGAUGAAGUUUUUAUGGUAAAAAAUGAGGUUUAUAAAGGACAACAAUAUAGUCAAAUUUACUAUGCUCGGCUUCAUAUGUUGAGGACUCUUAUUCACUCUCUUCUUCCUCAUUGGAAACCCCACAUUCCUGUUCGUACAAUUCUGGGACUUGAACAAGGCAAGGACUGUAUCCUUGUCGGAACAGUCUACAAGCACAUGAAACUCAAACCCUGUGUUCUUGAUGAAUACUCUAAGGAGAGGUCUGUGAUUCCUCUUGUCAAGCCUCACAAUUUCAUGCAUCCUGAUGAUCACCUGGUGCUGGAGGAUGAAAGUGGGAGAGUUAAGCUUGAUGGAACAACACUUUUACCUUCCGCCUAUGUUACCGGGAUUGUGGCUGCAUUCCUUGGAAAAGAAACUGGAGCUGGAUCUUUCUUUGUUCAAGAUAUUCUUGACGCUGGCCUACCACCCCAGAUACAGAAGCCUCUGAAGCUUGGUGGUGACAAGUACGUGGUCUUUGUAUCAGGCUUAUGUGUUGGGAAUAGCACCUCAAAUCCUCUCCAGUUCCAGCUUCUUGUGGAUCAUAUAACUGGCCAUUUAGGGGAUGAAAUGGAACAGAGAAUCGCUGCAGAAAUAGUCCAUGUAGUUAUUGCUGGAAAUUCCUUGGAAUUUGCCAGAGAACAAUUUAAUGGACAGAACUUGGGAUCGAAGGAUCAAUCUAAGUUGGCUGAGCCAUUUCAAGAGCUGGAUAUCUUUCUGACUCAGAUUGCUGCUGGAGUAUCUCUGGAUAUCAUGCCUGGGCCCAAUGAUCCUGCAAAUUUCUCUUUACCACAGCAGCCUUUAAAUAGAUGUCUCUUUCCUGGGUCUUCAGUUUAUAACACCUUCAGGUCUUGUACCAACCCUCAUUCCUUCGAGCUUGACGGGAUCAGAUUUCUUGGGACAUCAGGGCAGAAUAUUGAUGAUCUUGAAAAGUAUUCAGAAGCUAAAGAUAAACUUGAGUUCGUGGAAAGGACGUUGAGAUGGAGGCAUCUCGCGCCAACUGCACCGAACACUCUAGGGUGUUAUCCAUUUACGGACAGGGAUCCUUUUGUACUUGAGAGUUGUCCUCAUGUUUACUUUGUUGGGAAUCAGGAUGUAUAUGAAAGCCGUCUACUCAAAGGAUCAGAAGGCCAAAUGGCACGAAUUGUUACAAUACCUAAAUUUUGCGAGACAGGAGUUGCUGUUGUGCUUAAUCUGAGAAAUCUGGAAUGCCACACUCUGAGUUUUGGGACUGAAUUCAGCUUGUAAUUGUGAAUCAUGGUUUCAGCAGUUAUUAUGAUCUUAUAGCUUCUUCAACCUAAAGAGAGUUGCUGACAGACUAUCUUUGAAAUUUCAGGUCAGAAAGUAUUUCUCAACUUAGCAGGGCGAAAUUUUUGUGGUAGCUGACUAGCUGUAUUAGCUUCACUUUUCGGAGUGUAACAAGAGAAGAUGAGCCUCAUGUCAAUAUGUUCACUCUGUGUUCGCUUAUGUCGAAUGGUAUGGAUCCCUUUCUUUCUGAACAUUUAUGUAAUAGCUUAAGCAACUAUUAGGUGCAGCUAGAUUAUGUAUACUACUAGUAAGUAGUCUGUGUAGAUGAUCUUAGUGUUGUAGCAUUCAUUGCUCCAUGUAUCUUAGUUAAGCUCAUGUGGAGGAGGCAGUCAAAGAUGCUUUCAUGACAUACAUAUAAAUUUUGUCGUGAUACGAGGAUUUAACUCAGAAUGCAUGGGAUCUCAUUGUCAUCGUACUUCUCUACCUCGUUACUUCUGUUUCUUGGAAUCGCCAGAAAUUUUUGUAUCGAUUGAAACCACAAUAACUUUAUAAUUGAUCCAUGUAUAAGUUAUUUUUAUACUGU